This is a long non-coding RNA of Dermochelys coriacea (leatherback sea turtle), 1682 nucleotides long. RefSeq lists it as uncharacterized. The transcript is spliced from 3 exons. The record is from RefSeq and is a predicted model, not a curated record. NCBI's taxonomy places the organism in Eukaryota, Metazoa, Chordata, Testudines, Dermochelyidae.
AGGGAUAUAAGGAGCAGACUGGGCAGUAGAAGGAUAGUUGAAGUGGGAAGAAGCAGUGGUGUGAGCUCCUAGUGUCUGCAUCAAGCUGGCUGUGGAUCCCUGAACAAAGGCUCCCCAUGUAAAGCAUCAAAUCUGGAUUUGAAGGAUUGAUUCUAAAUCCCCUUCCCACUACACAUAGCAGUAGUAAGUCUCAAGCCUGAGCCACCUGCUUCCGUACUCUCCAGGAUGUGAGAUGUUAAAGGGUGGGGAAUGGGCUUUUAUGGGGGACACCUGAGGUGAAGAUCCCAAUCUGCUACAAAAGUUCCUGCUGGUGCUGACCAUGCCCUGGAGCUGUCAGGCGCUGCUUUCACUGUCUAGUGCUGUACAUCCUGAGUGGUGCAACAGACAUGUCAUUCAUUAAGCUCCUCUGGCUUCUGUAGAAGGCUCCCAAGAACACCAAUAUCCCAUGCUAAUGCUCAUCGCUGCAAUAUGUCAAUUCUGGCCCUGAACAGAUAGCUGGUUGGCAAGCAGAGCUUUCCAUUGGCUGGAUGACUCGGAGCUGUAGUCCAUCAAACUGAGCAAUUUCCAAUCUACUUCAGAGCAAUAGAGGAAACAGGAUUCCUAAUCUGCAAACAGUUGGUCUUAAGUGUCCAGUGAUUAUGGCUUUGGCAUGGGGAUGAGCAUAACUAAUUGGCUGGGUAUUUACAGGAAGGCUGCUUUUCAGUAGUAGCUGAAUAUAAUGAAGGCUUUCAAACCCAGAUGACUGCAUGUCUCCAAAGUUUGAUACUGGGUUAUGGAGCCUUUCCAGUGCUUGUCCUGCCUCUGACCUCCUAUGUCAACACAGGCAGGUCUGUGUCCCUUCAUGCAACCCAGCCCACUUUCAGCCUUGUAACACAGGCUAAGGUAAUGCACUGAAGUAUCAUGUCUUGCAUCUAAAUGUUCCUCACUUGUAUUCCUAUCUCAAGCUUUUGCAUAGCAGAAGCUUAAUUUCAGUUGUCUUAAGCCUUCUGUACAUUAGGCCUGUCAUUAAAAUACCUUCUGUUUGCAGAUUAGUGGGAGUUGUGUGCAUAAGGACCUCAUUCUUGGUUAUGCAGCACGCAUGUUUCAGCAACAUGCAGUGAGCAGAUGUUUCAGGCUAAGGAAAUUCCAUAUGGCCCAUAGCAGUGUGUUCAGCCAUGCAUCAUGGCUCUUUGAGGCAAGGGCUUUCCUGGUAUCAUGCCCAACACAAUGGGGCCCUGAACCAUGACUGGGGUUCACAGGUGCUAAUGCAACAGAAAUUGGCUUCUAUUUUGUUCUUGAGCAGAAAACCAGGCUUGAAAUGAAAACGCCUCUUUGAGGAGCUAGAUCAGCCUCUUUCUAGACACUUGGUCAGUUGGGAUGUGUAAAUCGACCUGGCCAUUUCCUGAUUUGUGAGGGGCAUUUCAGAUGCUUGUCCAUGUGCCAGGGUGGUAAAAGGGCUAAAACACAGACCUGCAACUGUCACAUGCAGACAUCACUGCUAAGGGAGCAGCUAGAAAAAUGGAUUCCAGUCCAACCUCAAAAGAGCACCUUUUUGGAGCAGUGACUUUUUUCUACCAUUCCAGAACCUGCUGAGAGCCAGAAACAAGGGCUAAGCGCAUCCUGUAUUGGAAAGACUCCAGACUCAAAACCAUUCUCUAGUGGCAGUUAGGAGACAGAUUGCUGGAGGCUUCAGAGUAGCAGCC